UGGCGGAAUUAAGAGCUGUUUCUGUGACCAGUAUAACUAAGCAACAGUUAGAUCUCAAAGAACCAGCUCAUCCAGAAUGUGUGUGGACUGUCCACACAGUUUGAUGUUUUCCAAAUGAAUUUUUUAUCAUUUGCCCUGGUCCAGUCGAUGAGAUCAUGCAGGUUGUCUCCAAAAGCCCUCACUGCUGCUUCUUAAGAGAUUCUGAGGAUUAAGUACACUGAAUUGAGGUUUUCCAUCUCCUUAUCAGGGCUAGACGUGUGAAGUGUCUGGGCUUGAAUUGACGCCUCAGGUCCACUUAACCCUUCUUUGUAGUUAGCAAAGUAUUUGCCUGCCUUUGAGUGGUGCCCAACAAAACCAGGACCAGAAAGAACACCUUUCUGCCUGUUGUAACGUGCAUUUCUUUGUCUCCAGGCUCUCCUCGCCCCCUUUUACAUACUAAUCUUAAUCCUGAAGUUUUUGUCCUUUAUGAACUUCAUUAUAAAACUACUUUAUUCUUGAAAUUAUUUGUAUUACAGUUGUGAUUGUUUUAAUUAUGGAAAGCAGUGGACUAAGAGAAAAUUGUGAGAUUAUAAGUGGUGGCCUAAAGCCAGAGAAGGAACUUUUCAUUGGGAAGAUUUGUACUGAAGGUUUCUAUCACUUGUGACCAAGAAUUGGUUUAGGAAAAAGUUAGGGUGAGUGGAAUACUGAAGAAAAUAAGGGAAUUUGGGAAGGAUUAGUAGUUUUCUUGUCAAAAGGGAGCUGAGAAAUAUGCAGCCUUAACUUUCUAGUCCUCCAUAUCAAGAAAAGAAAAAUUUACUAAUUUUUUCCAGGGAAAAUAUAAGCAGGACUAUCCUGAUUCUGCCCCCAAAAUCAAACAACUUAUCUUUAUGUUUCAGUUUUUUCUCUGCAGUAUGAGGAUAGAGAUAUUGAGCAGUUUUUGUGAGGUGGUUUGAGAGCUGUAACUGUAAGUGCAAGCUAACACAGCAGUGCUUUCCUUUGAUGCUGAAUGCUGAGAGCAUGAUGCAGGACUAAGAAGUUGCUGGAUAAAUAAUAGCAUAUGAUGGUCACAGAUAAUGACAUUUGUGAUUUUAUGCAAUGUGAUGUGAUUUGUUUUCUUCUAUGUUUUUUUUCCCAUGGGGGAAAGCAGGCAACUGUUUUUUCCAGUGCUGAGAUGUAAUCUACAAAGCUGAUUCUGACGAAAAAUUAGCCCAUGAUCUCUUGAUGAAUGAUCAAAACAGGUGUUCAGCCGUCUCAAGGAAAGCAGUGCUCCAUCACCUGUAAUGGUUACUUCAGAAGACAAAUGCCAUCACUCCAAACACCUGUCCCUUCCUCCUCCUUCCCCCAGCAUUAUAUGAGGUACUACGUGUUCCCAACCUAAUGGGUAGCUAGUUAUCUGAUGAGUGCUCAUGGAAGAGAUGAUUAUCUCAUUUCUCAAUCAUGGCUGGGAAGUCACCAGGACACUUUUUGUGAAGGACAUCUAGCCAGCUCUGCUCACCUUGUGAAGCAUUGUCCCAGCACAGGUUCGCCCCUCUCCCUUGGCAUAUCACAGCUGAGUUGCAACUACUCGUAGACAUAGCCCAGAUAGAUAGUUUCUGUUGCAGUUUCUGUUCUUUGACUCUUUUGAUCUCUGAAAAGAGUAAUGCUUCUCUGCCAGAUGAACAGUUCAUAUAGGGCCAGACUCAGUGAAAAGGGCAUUUGCUGUGAUGACCUGUGUGAGAAUAAAUAUAAUCAGCAAAGUAUGGAACCUGGUACCAAGGAGGUGACAACGUUUGCACUUAGCAUGGUAUCUCACUGACAAUUUGGGGGUAAUUUAUUUAUUCCUCCUAUUGGGACAAGUAAUACACACACGUGUCAGGCAGCUGUAGGUAGACUACUGCUGUCUUUGUUUGUGAGAAUGUCCAGAGGGAUGACAGGAGUAACUCAGCAACAUAUCCUGACAUAUAGGGCAAUCACAAAUUCCGGAAUUAGCCGUUGAUUCCCACUUUUGUGGACAUGUUCCAUGGAAAAAGCAAUUGCUGUAACUCAGUUUGUGUUAAUAACUAUUUUGCCAAGUGCAUGCAGCAUCCGGACAAUGCAGCUGUUCUAGCUCAGCACUGGCAGUACCACGUGUUGCUAUGUGCUCCCCUGCCACAUGGCCUUGCUGGCUUAUGCAGGCAGGAUAUUGAGGUUCUUCUGCACUGUGCAGUUGAGCCUGAGGUGAGCGUGAUAUUUCGCUGGUCUGGCAUGGCUUGUCUAAUUAACUAAAGCUGCCACACAAGCUGCCGUGAUCUACCCUGUGGACUGUGUCUCAGGCCUGUUCUUCAUUCCUGUCUGCAAACAUAAGCUUGAGCGUGAAGGGGAAGGAUAACCUGGCCUGAAUGGCAGUCACAGAGCAGUCAUUUUGCAAAAGCUGUCCUGUAGCCCUCCCCCUGGUUUGGUGAGCAUCACUUUUAUGGCACUGCAUUACUUGCAGGGCUGGAAAGGACAUCUUAGCAGAGCCCCACCAAUGAAAAACAGUAACACGGUUACCUGGGGUGACCCUCCUUCCAAGUGGAAGGUGUGCAGAACAGUGAGCUGGCUGCUACCCACAGGGACAGGGGUUUUUAAGGGAGCUGGAACAGUCCAUCCUGCAAGGGGCUUGGAGCAGCUCGGUGUGGUCAGCAGCCACAGGGGACUGAAUACUCAUCGGUGGCCUCCCCACCCAGAGGGCAAUGUGCCAGAAACACGACAAGAGGAGGAGGCAGGAGAAAGAGAGACUAUCACAGCAGUGAAGGAGCAAAAAUGUAUCAAAGAUUAAACAGGGCAACAAACUGGAUCAGAGUAGGGGCCUCCUCUCAUGGAGCUACAGUGGAAAGAAAUGUGCAAAGCAGCAACAGCAAUGUAGGAUUUUCUGCAGCUAGAGAAAGUGAGCCUGAGCUAGAAGUGCUCAGGGCAGUGGAAGAGCUGGGGGAUAGUGCCUUGAGAAGCUGAUGCCUGCACUAAUGCUUUUCCCAUAAGUAUCACUCCCUUCAGACUUUGCUGUACUUUCGUGAUGUGAUGACAAAAACAAUGGGGGAAAUGACAAAAACAACUGGGAGAAAUGAGUGAUUACCCCAGGCUUGGUACAAGAGUUCAUUAGAUUGAAAAAUAUCUGAUGAAAUUGUGCUUCCUAGGACUGACCCAAAGGAUCAUCAAUUUGUAGUAGUAUUAACCACUGACAAAAACUAUAAACAACAGUUUAGUUAAUGUGCUGGAGUUUAAUAAUGUAAAUGCUAAUACAGAAUUACUUGCAGUGUUGUGAUGGAAAAAAAUUUACGGUGCUGGAAAUGUAAUUAUUGAAGGUGACUGUAAUUUUGGCUUCAGUUAAAUCGUUUUCCUUCCAAAUGUAACACUCUUCAGUGAGAUCAUUCAUAACUUCUGUAUUUAUUUCACUUGGCUUAAUUAGCACAUAGUGUAAAUUAACCCCUCUCAAAAACAUGACUUAUGUGCUGUGAUUUAACCAAUUUGUUAAAUGCAGCCUUGUUUUGUGUUGAUUCUUGCCAAUUUAGGCAGUGAUCUCAGUUUGCUUUGUCCUGGCUUCUCCUUCUCUGAUCAGUGCCCUGCCUUUUAUUAUUCAACAAUUGCAGUUACGUCAGGAGUGUAUGAUUAAGCUCAUGGAAAAUGUAGUGCUGGUUUCUUGAAAUCAGGGAACAAGAUGUAAAGUAAUUUCAUUCAUCAAAAUAAUGCACUUGAUUCCGGGACUUUUUUAGAAUGGUCAAUGUGCUGAUUUUAAUCAUUUAGAAAAGCCUGGUAUUUCUGAAUUAAGCAAGCUGGGAUUUCUAAACAGAAAUCAGUUUCUUAUUGCGUAAUAGGAAGUAAUACAUUAAAAAAAAUCUCUUAUUUUAUACAUCAAGGAAUGCCUUAAAAUCUUUUCUUUCUAGAACAAUCCUUUGUGUUAUAAGAAAAGGAAUAUUAUCAGAGAAAGGCCAAGGUGCCUUUUUAGUUUCCUCUGUUUGUUUCAGGUGGAUGAAAGGGAGAAAAAUGAUCUGUUGGGGAAAAGGCCACAUCUAUGUAAAGAAGGAAGGAUUCUAAUCUGCUGUUGUUGUUAUUGUUAGGAAAAUAUGGGUUAAAAAGGCUAAUACCUUGUUUCUAAGCUAUUUUGAAGGUAAAUAUGAUCUCUAGUAGUGCUGUGAAUGCAGAACUACAAGAUGUAAUGAGUGUGUAUGUUUGUGUGUCGAUAGCUACAGAAAGAGAGGUCUACAUCUGUCACUGUAUCUUAGAUUGGUACUAGGUUUUUGACUUGUCUUUAAAGCAUCAAGAUCAUGUGGUGGAAGGGAGCCAUUUGCCUUCCUUAUUGUCACAUUUUCCUAACUUUGAUUGGUGCAUUGUAUACCCAGGGAAGGAGUAUCUGGCAGCUAUACUUCUUCCCUGAAAAGAAACGACUGUGAGUGAAGUUGAAAGACCUAGAAGACUGUAAAUGGUAAAGAGAAGUGAGCGGGGGACUGUUUGUUUUGUCUUCUAAUACAAACUGUAGGAGCAUGAAAUAAAUAGGAUGAGCUUGAUGGCGUGUUCAGAACAAGCAAAGGAGAUACUUUUUUGGGCAGUGAUCCAUGAAACUCAUUGCUGCAGGAGCUGAAUGCUUGUUGUGGUUGAAAAAAGGGACUGGAGAAAUUAAUGUAAGAAAAAUCAUUGGGGUUGUUAAAUGCAAAGGCCUCAUCUCUAGCUCAGGUAGUCUUUGAUCCUUAAAUCACUGGCAGACUUACACCUCCUUGCCCUGUUUUUAUGUUCCUCUCCGGUCAUCUGCUGCUAGCCACUUUAACAGAGAGGGAGCACUGGCCUAAAUGGGGCUGUGGUCUGAAGCAAUAGAGCUGUUUCUGCAUGUGCUGUGUGUGCUGCCAAGGGAAGGUUGCAGUCACCGUGUGGCUAUUUAGAUUUACGAGGGGCUCGGUGAAGUAGUGACAACUGAGUCGCGAUGUAUCAGUGGUACCUGUUGUCUUCUCAGUUUUUCUUAUGAAAGAUGGCUUGAGCCUUUGGCCAGUUACAAUUUUGCCUCCUAUUUACAAUUAUUUGGUUGAUGCUACUCUCAGAGCUGAAGACUUUUCU
Long non-coding RNA from Pezoporus flaviventris, 5019 nucleotides. RefSeq lists it as uncharacterized. The transcript has 3 exons. The record is from RefSeq and is a predicted model, not a curated record. Lineage: Eukaryota; Metazoa; Chordata; Aves; Psittaciformes; Psittacidae.